GACCUUCGGGAGCUUAACAGGUGCUGCAUGGCUGUCGUCAGCUCGUGUCGUGAGAUGUUCGGUUAAGUCCGCUAACGAGCGCAACCCUCGCUGUGUGUUACAAGUGUCACACGGAACUGCCGGUCAUAAACCGGAGGAAGGUGGGGAUGACGUCAAGUCAGCAUGGCCUUUAUAUCCUGGGCUACACACACGCUACAAUGGGAAGGGACAAUAGGUAGCGAAGCUGCGAGGUGGAGCCAAUCCAGCAAACUUCCCUCAGUUCAGAUUGCAGGCUGCAACUCGCCUGCAUGAAGUUGGAGUUGCUAGUAACCGCAGGUCAGCUAUACUGCGGUGAAUACGUUCCCGGGGCUU
RNAcentral lists this ribosomal RNA (351 nucleotides) under uncultured Anaerolineaceae bacterium. RNAcentral describes it as "bacterial SSU rRNA". It matches the Rfam family "Bacterial small subunit ribosomal RNA", at positions 1018 to 1382 of the family's 1533-position model. Lineage: Bacteria; Bacillati; Chloroflexota; Anaerolineae; Anaerolineales; Anaerolineaceae. The record is from RNAcentral.